AGAGUUUGAUUAUGGCUCAGAACGUACGCUGGCGGCACGCCUAACACAUGCAAGUCGAACGCAGUAGCAAUACUGAGUGGCAAACGGGUGAGUAUAAUGUGGGAAUCUGCCUUUUGGUCUGGAAUAACACGAGGAAACUUGUGCUAAUACCGGAUAAGCCCUAACGGGGAAAGUUUUAAUGCCGAAAGAUGAGCCCGCACUUGAUUAGCUAGUUGGUAAGGUAAAAGCUUACCAAGGCAACGAUCAAUAGCUGUUCUUAGAGGAAGACCAGCCACAUUGGGACUGAGACACGGCCCAGACUCCUACGGGAGGCAGCAGUGGGGAAUCUUGCACAAUGGGGGAAACCCUGAUGCAGCGAUGCCGCGUGAGUGAAGAAGGCCCUUGGGUUGUAAAACUCUUUCGUCGGGGAAGAAAAUGACUGUACCCGAAUAAGAAGGUCCGGCUAACUUCGUGCCAGCAGCCGCGGUAAUACGAAGGGACCUAGCGUAGUUCGGAAUUACUGGGCUUAAAGAGCUCGUAGGUGGUUAAAAAAGUUGAUGGUGAAAUCCCAAGGCUCAACCUUGGAACUGCCAUCAAAACUUUUUAGCUAGAGUGUGAUAGAGGUAAGUGGAAUUUCUAGUGUAGAGGUGAAAUUCGUAGAUAUUAGAAAGAACACCAAAUGCGAAGGCAACUUACUGGGUCACUACUGACACUGAGGAGCGAAAGCAUGGGUAGCGAAGAGGAUUAGAUACCCUCGUAGUCCAUGCCGUAAACGAUGUGUGCUAGACGUUGGAAAUAUAUUUUUCAGUGUCGCAGCGAAAGCAUUAAGCACACCGCCUGGGGAGUACGACCGCAAGGUUAAAACUCAAAUGAAUUGACGGGGACCCGCACAAGCAGUGGAGCAUGUGGUUUAAUU
RNAcentral lists this ribosomal RNA (895 nucleotides) under uncultured bacterium. RNAcentral describes it as "bacterial SSU rRNA". It matches the Rfam family "Bacterial small subunit ribosomal RNA", at positions 8 to 951 of the family's 1533-position model. The record is from RNAcentral.